UCGUCACACUAUCAUUAACUGAAUCCAUAGGUUAAUGAGGCGAACCGGGGGAACUGAAACAUCUAAGUACCCCGAGGAAAAGAAAUCAACCGAGAUUCCCCCAGUAGCGGCGAGCGAACGGGGAGGAGCCCAGAGCCUGAAUCAGCAUGUGUGUUAGUGGAAGCGUCUGGAAAGGCGCGCGAUACAGGGUGACAGCCCCGUACACAAAAGCGCAUGUGCUGUGAGCUCGAUGAGUAGGGCGGGACACGUGGUAUCCUGUCUGAAUAUGGGGGGACCAUCCUCCAAGGCUAAAUACUCCUGACUGACCGAUAGUGAACCAGUACCGUGAGGGAAAGGCGAAAAGAACCCCGGCGAGGGGAGUGAAAAAGAACCUGAAACCGUGUACGUACAAGCAGUGGGAGCNNNNNNNNNNNNNNNNNNNNNNNNNNNNNNNNNNNNNNNNNNNNNNNNNNNNNNNNNGGGCGUUAAGUUGCAGGGUAUAGACCCGAAACCCGGUGAUCUAGCCAUGGGCAGGUUGAAGGUUGGGUAACACUAACUGGAGGACCGAACCGACUAAUGUUGAAAAAUUAGCGGAUGACCUGUGGCUGGGGGUGAAAGGCCAAUCAAACCGGGAGAUAGCUGGUUCUCCCCGAAAGCUAUUUAGGUAGCGCCUCGUGAAUUCAUCUCCGGGGGUAGAGCACUGUUUCGGCUAGGGGGCCAUCCCGGCUUACCAACCCGAUGCAAACUGCGAAUACCGGAGAAUGUUAUCACGGGAGACACACGGCGGGUGCUAACGUCCGUCGUGAAGAGGGAAACAACCCAGACCGCCAGCUAAGGUCCCAAAGUCAUGGUUAAGUGGGAAACGAUGUGGGAAGGCCCAGACAGCCAGGAUGUUGGCUUAGAAGCAGCCAUCAUUUAAAGAAAGCGUAAUAGCUCACUGGUCGAGUCGGCCUGCGCGGAAGAUGUAACGGGGCUAAACCAUGCACCGAAGCUGCGGCAGCGANNUGCUGGAGGUAUCAGAAGUGCGAAUGCUGACAUAAGUAACGAUAAAGCGGGUGAAAAGCCCGCUCGCCGGAAGACCAAGGGUUCCUGUCCAACGUUAAUCGGGGCAGGGUGAGUCGACCCCUAAGGCGAGGCCGAAAGGCGUAGUCGAUGGGAAACGGGUUAAUAUUCCCGUACUUGGUGUUACUGCGAAGGGGGGACGGAGAAGGCUAUGUUGGCCGGGCGACGGUUGUCCCGGUUUAAGCGUGUAGGUGUGUGUUCCAGGUAAAUCCGGUUCACUUUAACACUGAGGCGUGACGACGAGGCACUACGGUGCUGAAGCAACAAAUGCCCUGCUUCCAGGAAAAGCCUCUAAGCAUCAGGUAACAUCAAAUCGUACCCCAAACCGACACAGGUGGUCAGGUAGAGAAUACCAAGGCGCUUGAGAGAACUCGGGUGAAGGAACUAGGCAAAAUGGUGCCGUAACUUCGGGAGAAGGCACGCUGACACGUAGGUGAAGUGAUUUACUCAUGGAGCUGAAGUCAGUCGAAGAUACCAGCUGGCUGCAACUGUUUAUUAAAAACACAGCACUGUGCAAACACGAAAGUGGACGUAUACGGUGUGACGCCUGCCCGGUGCCGGAAGGUUAAUUGAUGGGGUCAGCGCAAGCGAAGCUCCUGAUCGAAGCCCCGGUAAACGGCGGCCGUAACUAUAACGGUCCUAAGGUAGCGAAAUUCCUUGUCGGGUAAGUUCCGACCUGCACGAAUGGCGUAAUGAUGGCCAGGCUGUCUCCACCCGAGACUCAGUGAAAUUGAACUCGCUGUGAAGAUGCAGUGUACCCGCGGCAAGACGGAAAGACCCCGUGAACCUUUACUAUAGCUUGACACUGAACAUUGAGCCUUGAUGUGUAGGAUAGGUGGGAGGCUUUGAAGNNCCGGGUUGCGGACAGUGUCUGGUGGGUAGUUUGACUGGGGCGGUCUCCUCCUAAAGAGUAACGGAGGAGCACGAAGGUUGGCUAAUCCUGGUCGGACAUCAGGAGGUUAGUGCAAUGGCAUAAGCCAGCUUGACUGCGAGCGUGACGGCGCGAGCAGGUGCGAAAGCAGGUCAUAGUGAUCCGGUGGUUCUGAAUGGAAGGGCCAUCGCUCAACGGAUAAAAGGUACUCCGGGGAUAACAGGCUGAUACCGCCCAAGAGUUCAUAUCGACGGCGGUGUUUGGCACCUCGAUGUCGGCUCAUCACAUCCUGGGGCUGAAGUAGGUCCCAAGGGUAUGGCUGUUCGCCAUUUAAAGUGGUACGCGAGCUGGGUUUAGAACGUCGUGAGACAGUUCGGUCCCUAUCUGCCGUGGGCGCUGGAGAACUGAGGGGGGCUGCUCCUAGUACGAGAGGACCGGAGUGGACGCAUCACUGGUGUUCGGGUUGUCAUGCCAAUGGCACUGCCCGGUAGCUAAAUGCGGAAGAGAUAAGUGCUGAAAGCAUCUAAGCACGAAACUUGCCCCGAGAUGAGUUCUCCCUGAGACUUA
This 2479-nucleotide ribosomal RNA is filed under the name Salmonella enterica subsp. enterica serovar Heidelberg. RNAcentral's name for it is "partial 23S ribosomal RNA". It matches the Rfam family "Bacterial large subunit ribosomal RNA". The record is from RNAcentral. Lineage: Bacteria; Pseudomonadati; Pseudomonadota; Gammaproteobacteria; Enterobacterales; Enterobacteriaceae.